This 409-nucleotide long non-coding RNA is filed under the name Octopus vulgaris (common octopus). The record is from RNAcentral. Lineage: Eukaryota; Metazoa; Mollusca; Cephalopoda; Octopoda; Octopodidae.
GAAAAACUCGAUCUAUAUACAUGCACAUGCCAAGUACCGCAUAAAGCUAUUAUGAACGUUUACGUUCUCUCAUAAACUCACGUAGCUCGCUACCGCAAUUCACAGGGCUACAACUAAGAAGAGCAACGAUGAGAGCUAAACAGCAUUAAUACUUUCGACAACAGCUGGCCCAUGAAAUAACUGCAGACAAAUUACAAGUGCAUCUUUCGAAUAAAAAACAACAAAAACAAAACAAACAAACAAACAAACAAGAGAAAAAAAAGCAAAUACUAAAAAAGCGGAGAGAAAAAAACCCAAAACACUGAGAAUUUAAAAUCCAGAUACCAUACUGCUACAGUAGGGAGGUAACUAAGAAUAAUAACUACUGCUCCUGCAUGUACCAUAUCACAGGAAGGGAGGUAAGUUUGCA